Herpailurus yagouaroundi (jaguarundi) is the source of this 192-nucleotide long non-coding RNA. RefSeq lists it as uncharacterized. Lineage: Eukaryota; Metazoa; Chordata; Mammalia; Carnivora; Felidae. The transcript is spliced from 2 exons. The record is from RefSeq and is a predicted model, not a curated record.
GGAAGAGAAGCAAAAAUAAGAUAAAGACAGAGAGGGAGGCAAACCAUAAGAGACUCUUAAGUAAAGAGAACAAACUGAGGGUUGAUGAGAGGUGGGAGAUAAGGGAAAGUGGGUGAUGGGCAUUGAGGAGGGCACCUGUUGGGAUGAGCACUGGGUGUUGUAUGAAAACCAACUCGACAAUAAACUAUAUAU